Long non-coding RNA from Capsicum annuum, 856 nucleotides. RefSeq lists it as uncharacterized. The transcript has 2 exons. NCBI's taxonomy places the organism in Eukaryota, Viridiplantae, Streptophyta, Magnoliopsida, Solanales, Solanaceae. The record is from RefSeq and is a predicted model, not a curated record.
UUUCCAUUUUUAGAGGGGGGACUACAACACCACAAUAAGAAUAGAGAAACAACCAUCAUCUUCUCCAGGAGAAAAACUCCAUUUUUUUCUUUAUAUACACACUUCACACAUCAUCACAGAGGAAACCCAUCACCCAUAACAAAAAGGGAAUCCUCCAUUUGUUUCAAUGUACACAGAUUGACACGACAACAAUUUCAAACACACAGCAAAUCGACACAACACCAGCAGUAACAGUAUUACCAUUCUUACUGCUAAACAGAGACCCAAAUUUCCUUUGAACGCAAUCUAUACGCACUCACCGAGCAUACACACACUUCCAUCAGAUACACACAUAUACGAAUGAGAGAGAUCCUGAGAGAGAGGACAGAGAGAAGAGAAUAAGUAAGCGAGAAAGCUGAUCGGAGAAGUGACGAGAAAAAGAAAAAACUGAUCGGAAAAUAGUGAAACACCGGCGAGAAACAGACCUGUUCGUGUAAAGUUUGGUGUGGGUCAUUCUCUCUUAGCAAUUUUAGUUCGAAUUAGCAAAAAAUAGGAUUGGGUUGGAUAGCUGGGUUUUUCGAUUGGCGAGUUUUCUUGUGGAGGUUGAUUCGAGGUUUCGGACACGGAUCCUAUCUUUUUGAUCGAGUGAUACUUGAUUAUGAUAAUCAAUUGAGUGGCCGGGAAAUGCCCUGAGGUAUUUGUGUUUAUUCGACAGGAUUUCACCGAGGUAUUUUGUAGCCGGAGGAUGUUAGUGACAAAGGCCCGAGGCAUCGGGUGGAGCUUAGUCUAGGAUUAGUUUAGAAUAGGAUUUAUACUUUUUGCAUUUUUCUAUUUUGGACUGUAUAAUUAGAUUGGACACUAUAUUUUGGAUUGUUUU